GGGGUGAAAAGAACAAAGUUUUGUCCAUCUUUGUUCAUCAUAGCUGAAAGUUAGAGAAGAUAAAGGAGAGGAGAAAACUCUUGAGUACUCGGUCACUAGGAGGAGGAAAAUUGAAGGCGGUUCGUGUGUGGAUCUCGUCAGCAUAUUGUCGCAAACAGGAAAUCCCCAACCAUAGUGGGCUUGGAGCUGUGAGGGAAUUCGGAGUGGCCACCCGUUCUGAAAGUUUGAUUUUCUUCUGGUGAACUGGACAUCCUUUUAUUUACGUUUGAAGUUUUGGGUUUUUAAAUGUAAUGAGGCCGCUUAAUUAUUUUUGAUGGUUUUAAUAUGUAUUACUAAGAUAGGUAUUACUUA
Long non-coding RNA from Gossypium arboreum, 351 nucleotides. RefSeq lists it as uncharacterized. NCBI's taxonomy places the organism in Eukaryota, Viridiplantae, Streptophyta, Magnoliopsida, Malvales, Malvaceae. The record is from RefSeq and is a predicted model, not a curated record. The transcript is spliced from 3 exons.